AGAUUUAUCAAAUACAAUAGAAGAUUAGUCUCCGAAUACAAUUCAUCAUAUUAGUCUCCGAAUUCAAAAUACCGAACAAAGUUAGAACAUUACAAGUCUCGAGACCGCAAGUAGCGAGUUUGUCUUCACAUUACAAGUCGAUAUCUAAACUACCAUCACAUAGAAGAGAGCUGCUGUCACGAUGAGCAUCAUCGUGAUGAAACUGGUCUUCAUCCGGUUCCUCUAACGCUCCCCCCUCUCUCCCGUUAGAUAGCGCGCGUAUCUAGCUUCCGCCUCCGCCCUAGUGGUGUACCCUUUGUAACUGUUACCGCUGAAACGGUGAACCUGUCUACGACAAUCCUCCAAGUCGUCGUAGACUCCGGGAACCUUACCCUUGUACACGACAUACGACGGCAUCUCUAUGCGCUAGACAAACAAAACAUUAGUAACAAUUCACAGAUAACAUAUAAGCAAUAUGUAAGUAUGCAACAAAAGGAUCGGAAGAGAAAAGCAACACAUUAAUAGCACGAUUCAUGGUCCUACUGAUAAAUAGCAUCGAUUACAUAUAAGUUGAACGACUGUCCAAACAAAGAGACAUACAAGUUCAUUAAAGUUUAAUUACAACAUGAGCUAAUCGAUAUUUCAGAACUACAUAGCAUCAAUACUUUCGACUCGACUCAGGGACCGGAGCGUGGAUGAAGCCGCCGUCUAUCGUGAUGGUCAUGAAUGUGUGGUCGUUGUCAGCCUGCAUUUGUAGCAUUGUAUCUAUUUCACUGUUGGAUGGUUGAUGUUUGAGGUAGAACUGCCCUGAGGUACGAAGGACAUCUUGAUAGAUGAUUUCCACAAACUCCGACUGGAUGCGAAAGAAUUCUUGUCUGAUGUUAGCAUCCUGGAUUGCCGACAAGCGUGCGGCCCAAUAUUUGAGAUUUGUUGGUAGCAGAAGGUGAUUAUGGUCCCUUACGAUCGCCCGCAUGUGAUGGAGGGCGUAGUAGGCAUCCUUCUGACAGCCAGGCGGUUGCUUGACGUAGGGGAACAAUGUUACGUGGGUGAACACGUGCUUGCCGUACCUACAAAUUGGCCUCCUGAAGGUGCCUCCAGAUUUGGCUUAGCCGGGGAGAGCAUCAUCAAGAACUUUCCUGAUAUUUGUGUAGUCUUUCUUCAACUGACGGUCCGAGUCGAAAUACGUGGCCAUGGAAUAUUUCGGGCUAAAGAGGAUGAGUGUGCAAUGUGUGUCACUACACAAAACACGGAAUGUUGAAAAAAAGAACGAUCGAAAUCUAAGUAAUCAUAUGUUACGGGGUGGUGAGGGGAUGACUUACUCAGGAAAGUAAGGCACGAGGAAGUUCUCCUUAUCUGUGUUCGCCAGAAUGACGCCUUCAUGGUAUGAACUCGUGACUUGCCGGUCCCUAACACUGCCUAAGAUCUUGGCACGCAUGUAGAAUGGGUCGACUAUCACGAUGUCCGGGGUCUUGUCUCUAAUGAUCCACAUCUCCAUACUGAGCGAAAAUAGCCGAAUGAAGGUGUAGUGCAGCGAAUGAGGGUUAAACAUAGCGAAGAUGUCAUCAAACCGCAGGCCGAUCAUACCCCCGAUGGUGCUAUCGACAAAGCCCUUGCCCUCUGGCACCUUGGCCACAAAAACUGGGUAUGCCACAUCAUUCUUGGAGAGACGCCACUUCUCCAUAGAAAGAACACUGUCAUGCAGACUCCGCAUAGCACCGGUUGCAGCAUUGAGCAGAUUAGUUGGUAGCAUCGGCCUACCUGCCACAUGCACCCUCCUCGAGAUAUCCUUAGUUGAAGGUGGCCCGUCCUGAGCAGGAUUGUACUCGGUGCCGGCUGGCUCGCACCCUUGUUAUUCUUUCUUUUCUGUCCCUUCUUUUUCUUCUGCUGUAAUGGGAUCAAGUUCUGCUCAGAGACCGCCUUCUUGAAUGUGUUGGGGCUGAUAAUAUUUUGCACCUCGGCUAUCUGAGGCUCGGUGAAGGCAGCAGCUGGAGGUGUCUCUUGAGAACUGAACGCCAGACGAUGCUUGUUGCAAUUGGGUUUCUCCGCGGUACCAGCUAGAUCGCAAUCAUCUUUUUUAGGAUUGGGUUCUUGAGAAGGAGGCCCCAAGAAUUCGUCACCGUACCCAUGUUCGUUGAAGUACUUAUCGACGUUGGAAAAUGUAUCGGCAUUGUCGUCCGGAUCUUGUACCGUCGUUGUCAUCCGGAUCUUGUCCAGAUCAGCUGAUGGCGGUAGUGUUGCGGCGGUCUUGCCAUGGCUUGGUGCCGGCAUGACUGGCGGUGUUGUCUGUGGGGUGGUGUCCCCUGCCCCCAAAUGAAUCUUGCUCUUCGGCCAAAGCAGGGGCCAGCUUAAGCAGGCAUUGAGGGUCAUCACAUCAUCUUCGUCGACCCCAAGGGGUCGAAACGGAGGUAACAAGUCAUCGCAGCCCCGCAACACCCAAAACAGUUGAACCCAAUACACGAUGGGUGGCAUCGGAUUACCGUGGAACACGCGGUUUCCCGGUUGAACGGUUCUGGCUUUGGCGAAAUCGAUCAACUCGCCGUCCAUGAAGUGCAGGAGGGUGCAUGGAAUGUCGGCGGCGCCCUGCGAAAACGUGUAGGGUGUUAGGGAUGCCCAGUCAAAGGCAAGGAGAUGAAGUCAUCGGUCGAGGCUUAGUUACCGUGAUGGCGCCGAGCUUGGCUAAUGUCGAGGCACUUCCAACAGCGGGCGUGCAAGUGGUGGAGGGGUUGCUUGCUGCCAAGGUGCCAGCCGGCGUAUUCUUCCGACAACUGGGUGCAUUAAGCUCCAAUGCCGGCGCCGGGGCCGGAGACACCAAUGCCACCUCCGCCGGAGACACCAAUGGCGCUGGUGCGUUGUGCAAGUUGCUGCCUGUGAAGCUGGGAGUCGGCGGCACCAUCAGUGGUGUCAUCCCCGAUGCCACUAGGGGUUGUUUAGUCGGGAUCGGUGUCUUCCACGGCGUCCUCAUAGCAUUGAGGUUCUUCCUCUAUCUCCUGGGACAGCUCCCAGAAUUGCUUGCCCAAACCGCCAGCCUCAUUGUUGUUGGCCAUGUUCACUAUAAAUAGGAAAAAAGGCUACUAGAGUUAUUUCUUAAAUGAAGUCUAGGAAAAAAGCCUACUCAACUUGACCGUGGAGACCUUCAGUUGUCCACUUGCAAAAUCAAGAAGGUACACUUGUGAUUGUUAUUUUCUUGCAUUUAUAUAGAUGCUUGCACCAGAAUCUAUCUAUCUGAACUUGGUAUUCUUAAAAUCUGAACAUCUAUGUUAUGUCUCCAUGAUCUUCCAUCUACUCCUAUAGGUAUUCUUCUACUUAUUCUUUUUCAGGGACAAUUGUUUCUGCUUGUGGCAUCUACUUAUUAAACCAACAUUUAAACUAUGAGCUUACAUCGUGAAUCUGAACAAUAGGAGUAACUAGACUGCAUUUUACAGGAGUACACUACUAGAGUUAACGAAUUGGGCAUCAUCUAGGUCAAACUAUAAAUGUUGAUUAUUUUUUGUUUCGGUUGAGAAUCGGGCACCUUCUAGGUCAAGAAAAUUGGGCAUGACCUUUGCUAAUUUUCUUAACCUAGGAGUGCCCCAUUCUCAACUGAAACGAAAAUUAAUCAACAUUUCGGGAGAAAGGGGUCAUUUCAGAAGAUCACAAGUUCAGAAGAUCUACAGUAGCAGCAGCAUCACAAGUUGACAAAAUUCAGUGAAUAUAAUGAUCAACUCUACAGUAGCAGCAGCAUCACAAGAAGUACAACAGCAUCAUCAUCACAAGUAGUACAGCAGCAGCAGUGAAUACAGUUUUUAUAGCAGGAUUCAUAAUCAAGCAAAGUUGUCCAUCCGAGAAGAAUUUGGCAUACUUAAUCUGAAUUAUCUUGUGUGUGUGAUAUGUUCACUGCAACAGGGUGUGGAGAUUAGGGAUCAAAGCCAUUUCGUUACGGAGGAAAACAUCGACAGGCUCAGAAACGCCAGAGGCUAACAGGGUGCAGGUAUGUAUACUAUUGUCCGUCUGUCAACACUGCUUUCUUGUUCACUUCCAUAUCAUAUCCUUCCCCACUUGAAACAAACAAAUCCUCUAUAUGUAUGUUCAGGCCUCGGGUGACUCGCUUUGCACAUGACCUGGGCAACUUGAUCAUUUCCUUACCACUAAAGUUUUAACUGUCACACAUGUUGUAGAUUCAGAAUGCCUCGCCUACUUUGUCAUACUACUACGACCUGUGUUCGUUUGUAAAAAUAAAUCAAUCCAUAGGAUAAAAACUGUAGAACAUUCAUUCAUCACGAAGUAGAUAGUGUUGCUAGCUCCUGAAUCAUUGUUGCAUAUUUUAGACAGAACCAAAAGAGAAACAUUACAUUUCAUAAAUUUGUACGAUAAGCAUUUAUUAGUUUGGUAUUUUAUUUAGCGAGUGUGCUAUUUCAUUAGUUUGGUAUUCUUACAGCUCAUGAACACUUGGGUAGACAAAAUGCAUUUAUUUAUUUUUGAAGCGAAAACGGAAACAAAAGCAGUGUCAACAAGUACCAACUGAAGGUUAUAGAACCAAAUCAGGGGGUCAAGUUCCCCCCUGACAACACAAACCUACAUAAUUUGAGAACAGAGCAAAAAUGGGCCGGCCUUAUUUCCAACCAGGGGGUCAAGUACCAACUCCAGGUUACAGAACCAAACCAGGGGUUCCCCAUUUUCCAAAAUGCAGUUUUUAUUUAUGUCAGCCUUAUUUCCAACCAAAUCCAUGAUCAUAUCUCAUACACUUGCUACUGUGUCCAUCACAAUUGAUUCAAAUAAAAUUACAAAGUAAUGGACAGAUGCAAACUGAACCAAAUAUGUAACAGAACAUGCAAUUGUUCCUGAAGAUGCAAUUGCGGGAGGGAGGGGAACCAAUACCUGGUCGCUGAUGUCGUUUUUGCAUGAGGAGGAGAUCAGCAGGGGCACACCGGAGCACCUUCAUGCCGGACUGCCAGAGCACCUCGCCGCCGGAGGAGCCAGCCUUGGACAACAGAGAAAUAGGCCGGUCAGAGAGAGAGGUACCUGCCG
Molecule: long non-coding RNA, 4983 nt
Filed under: Triticum aestivum (bread wheat)
Lineage: Eukaryota; Viridiplantae; Streptophyta; Magnoliopsida; Poales; Poaceae
Description: long non-coding RNA (TAES_LNC011861)
Source: RNAcentral